CAAUAGCGUAUAUUAAAGUUGUUGCAGUUAAAGAGCUCGUAGUCUGACCUAUUUGGCCUUUUCAGAGAUGAUUUGCCUGUACGUUGCGGCCUUUGAUCCUGCCUCUUGUUGUGCUUUUUUGUGCAGCAGGAUGUGCAGUCAUUGUGUUGUUUGUGCAGGGGGCCAAAUUGUACUUCGGAGGACCUUGUGUGCUUUUCACUAAGUGCGCAAUUUGGGAUUCCGAUAGUUUACUUUGAGAAAAAUAGAGUGUUCAAAGCAGGCAUUAUUUGCCCUUGAAUACGUUAGCAUGGGAUAAUGAAAUAGGACGUUGGUUCUCUAUUUCUGAUGGUUUGAAGGACCGAUGUAAUGAUUAAUAGGGACAGUUGGGGACAUUCAUAUUCCAUGGCUAGAGGUGAAAUUCUUGGAUUCAUGGAAGAUGAACUACUGCGAAAGCAUUUGUCAAAGAUGUUUNCAUUGA
This 457-nucleotide ribosomal RNA is filed under the name uncultured eukaryote. RNAcentral's name for it is "partial 18S ribosomal RNA". It matches the Rfam family "Eukaryotic small subunit ribosomal RNA", at positions 592 to 976 of the family's 1831-position model. The record is from RNAcentral.